GUACUCUUCAAAAGUACCAAGGUCUUCAACAGUAAGAAAAGACUGAGGAACAGUCACAGAUUGGAAGAGAAUAAAAAUAUGAAAACUAAAUGCAUUGUGAAAUGUUGGAUUGAAUGUUGGAUUAGAAAAGAACCAGAAAUAGGAUUUCACCAAUGUUAAUUACUUGGUUUCAAUAAUAGUACUAUGGUUAUGCAAGAUGUUGUUAAAAAGAAGCAACAGGCCAGAAUGGUUCUGCUAAGCCCAUGUCACCAAGCCGAGAUUUAAUACCUAACCUAACUGCAGUUCAACCUUCCUCAGGAAUACAACCUUAACUGGUCAGUCUGGAAUUUUCUGGUCAGCACUAAUGAGGUAAUAUGCCUCAGAGACCCUUCCUAAAGGAAGGCAGCCCAGUGUUUUGCUGAUUCGAAUCCUGGGUGCGGACAUGGCACUGCUCAUCAAACCACGCUGAGGCAGCAUCCCACAUGCCACAACUAGAAGGAUCCACAACGAAGAAUAUACAACUGUGUACUGGAGGCUUUGAGGAGAAAAAGGAAAAAAAAAAAUUUGUUUCCUUUAGAGCAAAACAAAUCUUCAUUAAUUUUUCACCUCACAUGAAGUUUCUUUAGUUAUAAAAUCAACACAUUAUUGUUAAAAAUGCAACAACACAGGCAAGCAAAAAAAGAGUAUAAAAUUUCACUCAUAAUUCAGCGCACUUGGAGAAAAUUCCUAUAACAUUUCAUGUUCGCCAUAUCCUUCAAAAUUGUUUGACUAUACAUGUAUGACUGUUUUUUAAAAAAGAACCAAAAUGGAAUCAUGCUUCACAUUCUGUUUUUAACAGCUUUAUUGGAGUAUAGUUGAUAUAUAAUAAAAUGUACAUAUUUAAAGUAUAUAAUUUGCUAAGUUUUGAAAUAUAUAUACACACCUAGGAAACCAUCCUCACAAUCAAAAUAGUGAAGAUAUUAUCCAUCACUUCCAAAAGUUUCCUCAAAUCUUAACCAUAAUGAGUCUCUUUCAAACAACCCAGAUUUGCUUCUGUUCCUACAAAUUAGGUUGCAUUUCCUGGAGUUUUGUAUGAAUAGAAUCAUGUAAUUUGUACUCUUUUUGCUCUGGAUUCUGUCACUCAAUAUAAUAAUUUUACCUUCAUCCAUGUCUUGUGUGUAUCAACAGUUGGUUCCUAUUAUUGCCGAGUAGUAUUUCAUUGUUUGGAUGUACUGC
Molecule: long non-coding RNA, 1194 nt
Filed under: Equus caballus (horse)
Lineage: Eukaryota; Metazoa; Chordata; Mammalia; Perissodactyla; Equidae
Description: lncRNA (ENSECAG00000050612.1)
Source: RNAcentral